UGGGCUUUAGUGUGGGCUUUUUGGCCCAACACAAAUAACCUUGGGCUACCAUUUCUGGUUUUCAACCUAUGGGCUUUUAAAGAAGGAGAUAAUAUUUAUGAGACUUUGAGUAUCCCAUAACAAUCGUCUCCCGCUGGAUCAUCCAAAUCGAAUGCAGCAGUACUAGCACUGGAAGAGGAUGAUGAUGAGGCUUUGGAUUUGCCUUGAGAAGAAGCUGUCUUAGACAACUGUUUUAUAAGUUGUAGGAAAUCUUCUUCGGUUUGGGCUGCAGCAAGCUU
This 278-nucleotide long non-coding RNA is filed under the name Ricinus communis (castor bean). Its description in RNAcentral is "long non-coding RNA (RCOM_LNC002017)". Lineage: Eukaryota; Viridiplantae; Streptophyta; Magnoliopsida; Malpighiales; Euphorbiaceae. The record is from RNAcentral.